Molecule: long non-coding RNA, 534 nt
Filed under: Ananas comosus (pineapple)
Lineage: Eukaryota; Viridiplantae; Streptophyta; Magnoliopsida; Poales; Bromeliaceae
Description: long non-coding RNA (ACOM_LNC010334)
Source: RNAcentral
CAAUUUACAUUCGGUUUAGCAGCUCAGGUACAGAUAUUUUUUGCCUGCCCUUCUGAAUGUCCGUUUGAGCUCAAAUUUUAAAAUCAGGCUUGAUUUUACUUAACUUGACGAAAAAAAUUUUAAUCUUUCAGUUUCGACCCUGUUUGGUCACUGAAAACUCUACCGAACUGUAAUCUCUAGCAGAUAGCAAUCGGAUUUUAUUUUCCACCUUCCGGGUGUCAGAAUGACAUGAAACUUUAAAUCUAACCUCAUAAAAAUAAUUCUGACAUAUUCUCCAGUUUUCAUAAUUUUCUGACACUGUGCAUUUUUUGCUAAAAUAUCAGCCCCGUUUCUCACAGAAAAUUCUAAAUCUUCUGUUUUCAUUUCGAUUUCAGCACAAGUCGCUUCCGACUUAUACUUACUUCUUUAAAUCCAAUAAAAAUAGUAUCUCACACUAUUUUUAUUUAUUUUUACUUUUAUAUUAAAAUCCGGUAUGUUACAUCCCCGGUAGUGUGCCCACAUCUGCCGUGUGUAUAAGGCUCCCUAACACAUAAU